Molecule: ribosomal RNA, 469 nt
Filed under: Trupanea nigricornis
Lineage: Eukaryota; Metazoa; Arthropoda; Insecta; Diptera; Tephritidae
Description: partial 16S ribosomal RNA
Source: RNAcentral
GUUUUUAGAAAUAAAUUUAAUUUAAAAAUUUUUAAUUUUUAUUAAUUAUUUAUAUUAAUUAAUAAAUUUAUUAAUUUAAAUAUUUUAAGGGAUAAGCUUUAAAAUAAAUUUUUAUAAAUUAAUUGAAUAAUAAUUAAAAAUAUAUACAUAGAAUUAGUAAUUAUUAAAAAUUUUGUUAUAAAUUAUUUUAUAAUAUAUAUUAUUUAUUUUAAUUUUAAAUUUUUAUAAAAAUAUUUUUUAAAAUUUUUUUUUAAUAAGAAAUAAUGAUAAAAUUAGUAUAUAUAAUAUGUAAAAGUAAUUUUAUUUGAUAAGUUUAUAUAAAGAACUCGGCAAAUAUUUUACUCGCCUGUUUAACAAAAACAUGUCUUUUUGAGUUAAUUUUAAAGUCUAACCUGCCCAAUGAAUAAAAUUUUAAUGGCCGCAGUAUUUUGACUGUGCAAAGGUAGCAAAUCAUUAGUCUUUUAAUUGA